AAUGUGAGGCCCUAUUAGUCCCACAUCAGAUAUGAAUGAGGUUGUGAUUCGGUAUAUAAGAGAUCAUGGACACUAGUAAUAAUAACUGAACUUAAACAUUUUAGGUCGGUAGUUUAGACCCAAAGAGUUAUUAUUGCCAAUGGGCCGGGUCGUUAUAUUUGGUAUCAGAGCCAAUCACCAGUCGAAAAGUAUGAGAUGAGUCUCGACGGAGCCAAGCUAGGGUCGAAAUAACAAGGCUAGCAAGACAAAUCUCACAUCACUUAGGGAUCUUGGACUAUGUGUGUGAUCCUACAUCAGAUCACAUAGCUUAGUGAUCUUGGACUAUAUGUGUGAUCCUACAUCAAAUG
RNAcentral lists this long non-coding RNA (347 nucleotides) under Ananas comosus (pineapple). RNAcentral describes it as "long non-coding RNA (ACOM_LNC005772)". Lineage: Eukaryota; Viridiplantae; Streptophyta; Magnoliopsida; Poales; Bromeliaceae. The record is from RNAcentral.